This 496-nucleotide ribosomal RNA is filed under the name uncultured bacterium. Its description in RNAcentral is "partial 16S ribosomal RNA". It matches the Rfam family "Bacterial small subunit ribosomal RNA", at positions 28 to 506 of the family's 1533-position model. The record is from RNAcentral.
GAUGAACGCUGGCGGCGUGCCUAAUACAUGCAAGUCGAGCGAACAGACGAGGAGCUUGCUCCUUCGACGUUAGCGGCGGACGGGUGAGUAACACGUAGGUAACCUACCUAUAAGACUGGGAUAACUUCGGGAAACCGGAGCUAAUACCGGAUAAUAUUUCGAACCGCAUGGUUCGAUAGUGAAAGAUGGCUUUGCUAUCACUUAUAGAUGGACCUGCGCCGUAUUAGCUAGUUGGUAAGGUAACGGCUUACCAAGGCAACGAUACGUAGCCGACCUGAGAGGGUGAUCGGCCACACUGGAACUGAGACACGGUCCAGACUCCUACGGGAGGCAGCAGUAGGGAAUCUUCCGCAAUGGGCGAAAGCCUGACGGAGCAACGCCGCGUGAGUGAUGAAGGGCUGCGGAUCGUAAAACUCUGUUAUUAGGGAAGAACAAACGUGUAAGUAACUGUGCACGUCUUGACGGUACCUAACCAGAAAGCCACGGCUAACUACGU